AUAUAUAUAGUUUCUAAUGCCACUCCUAGUGGCUCUGCUUCUUGAAUUAAACCCUGACCCAUGCACUCCCUAAGUUGGGACCAUUUACUAGGGGAUCACCCAGUCUCUUAUUUACAAACUUAACUCUACACCAGGCUCUAAGGAUCUACCCUAACCAAAGGCCAGAAGCAAAUCAAUGGUUGUAGCUGGUACUCUGAGACUCUUCCUGAGGUCACUCUUGCUGCUGGGCCAGCCCUGAGCUCUGGUUCCUGGGUCACCUACCCACCCUUGUGUUUAAGGAAAUGGGGGCUAGUGAUUGGCAGUACAAGAGGAUCAUAUGAAGUGCAGGGGAAGCAGAUGCCGCAUGGACAAAGGUGAGAUGUUCACCACAUGCCUUCCAGCCUAGUUGGUCCCCGGUACCAUCAGCUCAAUCCAGUUCACUUUUCCUCAAUUAUUUCUAUCCCAUCACAGGAGGCCUAGCAAAUUCCCAAUGAUAGCCCUUCACAUUGCUGUUUUGUGGACCAUGUUUGCUACAUUCUCAAGGUAUGAAUUUACUCUGCCUCUUGGAAUAGUGUAGAACAAGUCGAUUUCUCUCCUAUACAACAUUCCUUUCAAGAGUUUAAAACAAGCCUUGGGGGAUCCCUGGGUGCCUCAGCGGUUUAGCACCUGCCUUUGGCCCAGGGCACGAUCCCGGAGUCCCAGGAUCGAGUCCCGCGUCGGGCUCCCGGCAUGGAGCCCGCUUCUCCCUCUGCCUGUGUCUCUGCCUCUCUCUCCUCCCUCUAUGACUAUCAUGAAUAAAUAAUAAAAUAAAAAAUAAAUAAAACAAGCCUUAGUCUCUACUUGACCUCUUCUCUCCCCUCUACCUUGGAGCUAUCUCUUUUUCAGGCAAAACAUACUUCCCAGUUCCCUCAGCUGUUCUAUGGUUCACUGGAGUCAUCUUUUUGAGAGCAGGAACUGUGUCUUCAGGUCCAGCACGAAAUUAGCCAAAGUUGGAUUCUGCUACCUCUCCCUAGCUUCUCCAUGUAAAGCAAUUAGUAAAAAAAAGUAUACCUUGAAGAGUGAGAAAAGCUUAUUACUGCUGCUUCUAAGUGCUAAACAUGGCACGGGACUCUCUUCAAGUCAAGGACUCCACAGAUACUGAUAAAGUACUUAAUUUCCUCUUAUGAUUGUCAAACAGCUUCCUGGGGA
RNAcentral lists this long non-coding RNA (1167 nucleotides) under Canis lupus familiaris (dog). RNAcentral describes it as "lncRNA (ENSCAFG00845026190.1)". The record is from RNAcentral. Lineage: Eukaryota; Metazoa; Chordata; Mammalia; Carnivora; Canidae.